Molecule: non-coding RNA, 346 nt
Organism: Prunus avium (sweet cherry)
Lineage: Eukaryota; Viridiplantae; Streptophyta; Magnoliopsida; Rosales; Rosaceae
Source: RefSeq, a predicted model, not a curated record
CUUAUUGCUUAAUAAAAUGAUUCAUGUAGCUAUUUCAGUCACCCUGAUUCUUGUUUAGUAUCUUAUAGUGGUUUUGCUUAUCAGACAGGCCCCACUGUAUACUGUAGUAGAACUGUCUUUGAGGAUGCAACUCACGAGUUGGUCAGAGAUUUCUUCUGGGAUGAUGAGUUUCGACCUAAAUGGGAUCCAAUGCUUACAUAUUGUAAGAUAUUGGAGGAAUGCCCUCAGACUGGAACUACGAUUGUUCACUGGAUUAAAAAGUUCCCUUUUUUCUGCAGUGAUCGGGAAUAUUUAAUUGGUCGAAGAAUAUGGGAGGCUGGAAAAACUUAUUAUUGUGUGACAAAGG